RNAcentral lists this ribosomal RNA (254 nucleotides) under uncultured bacterium. Its description in RNAcentral is "partial 16S ribosomal RNA". It matches the Rfam family "Bacterial small subunit ribosomal RNA", at positions 524 to 776 of the family's 1533-position model. The record is from RNAcentral.
UACGAAGGUCCCAAGCGUUAUCCGGAUUUAUUGGGUUUAAAGGGCGCGUAGGCGGUCACCGCAAGUCGACUGUGAAAUCUCCGGGCUUAACCCGGAAAGGUCAGCCGAUACUGCGGGGCUAGAGUGCAGAAGGGGCAACUGGAAUUCUCGGUGUAGCGGUGAAAUGCGUAGAUAUCGAGAGGAACACCUGCGGCGAAGGCGGGUUGCUGGGCUGACACUGACGCUGAGGCGCGAAAGCCAGGGGAGCAAACGGG